UACGAAGGUCCCAAGCGUUGUUCGGAAUCACUGGGCGUAAAGGGAGCGUAGGCGGCGUGGUAAGUCAGAUGUGAAAUCCCGGGGCUCAACCCCGGAACUGCAUCCGAUACUGCCAUGCUAGAGGAUUGGAGAGGUAGCUGGAAUUCUUGGUGUAGCGGUGAAAUGCGCAGAUAUCAGGAGGAACACCAAUUGCGAAGGCAGCUCGCUGGGACGUUACUGACGCUGAGACGCGAAAGCGUGGGGAGCAAACAGG
Molecule: ribosomal RNA, 253 nt
Filed under: uncultured bacterium
Lineage: Bacteria
Description: partial 16S ribosomal RNA
Rfam family: Bacterial small subunit ribosomal RNA
Source: RNAcentral